This is a long non-coding RNA of Thalassophryne amazonica, 146 nucleotides long. RefSeq lists it as uncharacterized. The transcript has 3 exons. The record is from RefSeq and is a predicted model, not a curated record. Lineage: Eukaryota; Metazoa; Chordata; Actinopteri; Batrachoidiformes; Batrachoididae.
UGCGCCAAGCUUCUUCUCUGAGGCUGUUGAGUUGUGGUGGGGCGCCAUAGCUCUGUUGCUUCCUGCACAUUAACAUUAACUAUACUACCUCAGACAGGUAGACAUAUGUUAAUACCUUGGUUGUGCAACACCUUGGCCUUUUGCAC